UCUCCGUAGGUGAACCUGCGGAGGGAUCAUUACAGAGUUCUCGCCCUCACGGGUAGAUCUCCCACCCACUGUUUUCGUUACUGUCGUUUCUUUGGCGGGCCGCCGGGUCCCCGGCCGCCGGCGCCUAGCUGCCGGCGCGCGCCCGCCAGAGGCCUUCAAACUCUGAAUGUUAGUGUCGUCUGAGUACUAUAUAAUAGUUAAAACUUUCAACAACGGAUCUCUUGGUUCUG
RNAcentral lists this unclassified non-coding RNA (230 nucleotides) under plant metagenome. Its description in RNAcentral is "partial contains small subunit ribosomal RNA, internal transcribed spacer 1, and 5.8S ribosomal RNA". The record is from RNAcentral.